RNAcentral lists this ribosomal RNA (568 nucleotides) under uncultured Gloeotrichia sp. RNAcentral describes it as "bacterial SSU rRNA". It matches the Rfam family "Bacterial small subunit ribosomal RNA", at positions 337 to 918 of the family's 1533-position model. The record is from RNAcentral. Lineage: Bacteria; Bacillati; Cyanobacteriota; Cyanophyceae; Nostocales; Gloeotrichiaceae.
UCCUACGGGAGGCAGCAGUGGGGAAUUUUCCGCAAUGGGCGAAAGCCUGACGGAGCAAUACCGCGUGAGGGAGGAAGGCUCUUGGGUCGUAAACCUCUUUUCUCAGGGAAGAAAAAAAUGACGGUACCUGAGGAAUAAGCAUCGGCUAACUCCGUGCCAGCAGCCGCGGUAAUACGGAGGAUGCAAGCGUUAUCCGGAAUGAUUGGGCGUAAAGCGUCCGCAGGUGGCUAUGUAAGUCUGCUGUUAAAGAGUCUAGCUCAACUAGAUAAAAGCAGUGGAAACUACAAGGCUAGAGUGCGUUCGGGGCAGAGGGAAUUCCUGGUGUAGCGGUGAAAUGCGUAGAGAUCAGGAAGAACACCGGUGGCGAAAGCGCUCUGCUAGGCCGCAACUGACACUGAGGGACGAAAGCUAGGGGAGCGAAUGGGAUUAGAUACCCCAGUAGUCCUAGCCGUAAACGAUGGAUACUAGGCGUGGCUUGUAUCGACCCGAGCCGUGCCGUAGCUAACGCGUUAAGUAUCCCGCCUGGGGAGUACGCACGCAAGUGUGAAACUCAAAGGAAUUGACGGGG